GCAGUGGUGGGUCAGUGGUAGAACUCCAGACUUCCAGGUGGGAGACCUAGGUUCAAUUCCCAGUCAGUGCA
Molecule: transfer RNA, 71 nt
Filed under: Loxodonta africana (African savanna elephant)
Lineage: Eukaryota; Metazoa; Chordata; Mammalia; Proboscidea; Elephantidae
Rfam family: tRNA
About the family: Transfer RNA (tRNA) molecules are approximately 80 nucleotides in length. Their secondary structure includes four short double-helical elements and three loops (D, anti-codon, and T loops). Further hydrogen bonds mediate the characteristic L-shaped molecular structure. tRNAs have two regions of fundamental functional importance: the anti-codon, which is responsible for specific mRNA codon recognition, and the 3' end, to which the tRNAs corresponding amino acid is attached (by aminoacyl-tRNA synthetases). tRNAs cope with the degeneracy of the genetic code in two manners: having more than one tRNA (with a specific anti-codon) for a particular amino acid; and 'wobble' base-pairing, i.e. permitting non-standard base-pairing at the 3rd anti-codon position.
Source: Rfam by way of RNAcentral